RNAcentral lists this long non-coding RNA (350 nucleotides) under Ananas comosus (pineapple). RNAcentral describes it as "long non-coding RNA (ACOM_LNC026074)". Lineage: Eukaryota; Viridiplantae; Streptophyta; Magnoliopsida; Poales; Bromeliaceae. The record is from RNAcentral.
GUAGACUUCUCGAAAAUUUCGUGAAGCUAAUUUGAUAGCAAUUGGUUGAGGUUAGUUUGGUUAAAUUGAUGUUUUUCUGAGCUGCUGGUGUAUUUGAGCUGAAAUUGGAGAUUUUAUGGUUUUCUUGGAUCAAAUCUUGGAGGAAGCUGGAAUUCAGACCAAAGGAUGUUGCUCCAUCAUUCUCUACUGGUUUUGGGACUUUUCUUCAUCUGAAUUGUGGAUUGGAAUGUGAGUUUGACAUUGAGGUUUUGGAAGAAUUAAGCUUAAGUGCUGAAUUUGAGUGUAUUGUUGAAACCUUGGUGUUUUGUGUUUAGAUCUUUCGAGAAGGUCGUUGCUGGUUUGAGGCUGAU